CGUCACCAGCAACGUAGUGCACGUCAGUACCAGAGGGAGCUUUUGCGACGACCUGUGGGAGAUCCAGCACGGUGCACUUCAAAUCCGGGAACGCCGCUGCUAUGGUCGCAGCGGCCCCGCCAAGGCCGCCGGCGACAUCGACGAGGGAGGUUAGCCCACGGAAGACCUCGGCGCACUCCCUGAGGACGAUCGGCAUCAGGAAGGCGGUGUCCGCGGCCAUGGCGUCGUUGAACCGGAACGCGGCGGCGUCAUGUUCCGCUCUCUCCCAGACCGUCUGGCCGCCGUACGCCAUGGCGAACGGGGACAGACCCGGCUGCUGCUGGUCGCCCUGCUGCCGGAACCACUUGCGCAUGCCCAUGCUAACCGGAGAAUCUCGGACCGGCCCGAGCAAGAGCUGCACGGUCAGGAAAUGAGGCAGUUGGCCCGUCGCCGUCGAGCUCUUGUCCCUGACGAGGAGGCGGGAGGCCGCUGUCAGCUUGUAGACCGCGGCGUCGUGCCUGCUUUCUGCCGCCGCCGCCGCCGCCGCCUCGUCCGGGUGCUGGACGAUGAAGAUGCCCGAAACGGUGAGCACGCGCAUGACGCGGCGCAUGUCGCGGAGCCUGCACGGGCUGAUCCCGGCCUCGGCGAGUAUCUGGGGCAGGGUGGCGGCGCCGCCGAGGCGGUGGACGGCGUCGGCGAUGCGGAGGUCCAAGGCGAUGGCGAGCGCGGCGGACUUGAAGAAGCCGAGGGACUGGUGCCAGAGCUGGAGCUCGGCCUGGAGCAGCUCCUGGCUGCUGUACUCGGCGAGCAAUGCCAUUACUGCCCCGAUCGACCAAUCAGUCGAUCUUGAUGGCUAAUUCUUCCUUGUUCAGGGGUUGCUGAGCUUUGGGUGGAGCCAUACACGCAUCGGGUACUUAUAGUUGCAUGGCAGCUUGGUUAAGUAUUCUACCCCCAACGAACAUGAGCAUUAUUCUACAAGCUCUCAUUGGCUGUAUAUGCAAGCAUGUGCAGCCCUGGAAAUCAAGACGAUAUCCCAGCCGGUGCCCAGUUGACUUUGAAAGGAGGAACGAGUCAUGAGAGAUUUUUUGAAAAUAGAAUGAUAGGCUGCUUCUGCAUAUGUACUUAUAUACCAAUGAAAACUAAUUGUAUAUAUAGGGAAUUUUGAAGCACUUAGUCAACUACUAGCUGCAGUAGCUUGAAUGGUCGCAUUACAUACGCACACGGCAGCUACUUAGUUUAGGCUGCUAGGUGACCGCGAGCGGAAGCUUACGUUGCCUUGGUCAGAAUUCGAGCUAUAUAGAGAGGAGAGGCUGCGCGGCUGCGCCAAGGUAUCAAUCAAUCUUAUCCUUGACCGUGAUGGCUGAAGAAGUCUUCCAUGUCUGCGCCUCCAAAGUACUAAACAAGAGCACCAGGAAUUCAGGAUCUCAUGACUGCUCAUCACUUUUGUUUUUUUAUAACUAUCUGCUCAACGAUCACUUUUGGAGUUUUUGGACAGCUACCAUGCUAGUUGAAACCACGCACCUUCAUGUUGCCGUCACAAGACUACCGUUUCAAUAUGUCCAAGUUAACAGUGGACUGAUCAGUUGCAAUCUGCAAGCGAACCAUCUUCACUGACAAUAGCUAUCAUGGAUGCACAUGUAUAUCAAGCAUAAGUACUUGCAAACCAAUCAUUGAGUCUUUCACCGUUGCACGGUUUUGUUUUUAAAAGUAUGUUUGCAACUAGUCACUUCUGAAGGUAUUUGCAAUUGCAAAAAUAGUUUCUAACGUCUAUUACCGAAAAAAUUGUCCUUUUGCAUCUUAGUUUUUAAUUAUGUUGAGUUUGACAAUGAAAUUUUAUGGAUGCAUAUAUCAUGCUCAUCCCCAUCUAUAGUAAAAUUUAUAAAAUAUUCUCAAACCUUUUAAGUAGAGUGAAAAUUAAAUCCACAUUCUUGUGUCGUUUACACCACCUAUAUACUUCACCCAAGAAUGCAAUCAAAUAUGCUCACCCACCUACUGCUAGAUGUGCCUCUUCAAUAUUCAACUUAUUUUUCAUGGCUGUCCUCUCCUUAUGUCGACUGCUUCCGACGCUGCAUUGUGCACCACCGUAGUCGCUGUGCUUCCUUCGUCUCCGGUGACGAUGACAAUGCCUGCUUUGCCGCCACCAUUUUUCAGCGUGGUGGUUGUCCGAUUUCGAGUGAGAAGCAGUGUACAUCUCUAAGGCAGAUUCAUUUUUCACCGAUCCUCCAUCUGAGAAGAAGAGGAAAAGGAAGAGGAGGAGGAAGAGGAAGGAGAAGCAAGAUGACGUUGCUGCCAGAAAGCCUGAUGACAUGGAUUUGAACAUAAAUGACGACGACAUGGUAGAUUAGCAAACACAGUGGAAUAAAAACUAGACUCAAGUAUGUGCCCUUCAUGUAUACUUUGAGCAAAGCACUAUACAUGUGCAAACUUUUUUCCAGGUCUAAGUAGGCAAGCACCAAAGUAAUAAAACAGGUUUUACUCCUUUUGUAGGGUCAGAUGCCCGAAUAUGAAUCCCCCACAUAUGUAUAGGGCCACUUAUUGGACACUAUGCAUCUUAACAAUAAUUCAGAACCAGUAUAUAUAUAAUUUUGUGAUGUCUUAUUCUUUGGAUGGUGUUCUGUUCACCAAGCUUUCAAGGAUAGAGCUCGAUAACAGAUCGAACACCGAGAACAGGUAUAAUUUUGUAGUCCUUGAAUCCAGCCUCGAAGAAAAUCUUCUUCCACUCUUGCUCAUCUCGUUCAACUCCAUUGAUGUUCAUGAUUAAGAGGUCAUACAAAACUUGUGUCUCUGCAUGCUUGAUAUCAUCUGACGGCCCAGAUCCGACCACCAUAUCUAUUAUUAUUAUCUUUCCUCCAGCAUCUCGUGGAGAUAUAACUUGUUUGCAGUUCUUCAGUAUCUUGACACACUCGUCAUCGCGCCAAUCAUGCAAAAUCCACUGGAAAAAACAAGCAAUCAUGCAUCAAUUUUCAAUCCAUACAUAAAUUAAACAUACAAUAGCUUAGGGCAUUUGCUGGUUGCUGUCACUAAUGUGCAUUCGAAACAUUUGGGUACUGGGAUGUACCUUGAGGAACACAGCGUUCGCCGGUGGAAUACUCUCAAACAUGUCACCAGCAACGUAGUGCACGUCAGUACCAGAGGGAGCUUGUGCGACGACCUGUGGGAGAUCCAGCACGGUGCACUUCAAAUCCGGGAACGCCGCUGCUAUGGUCGCAGCGGCCCCGCCAAGGCCGCCGGCGACAUCGACGAGGGAGGUUAGCCCACGGAAGACCUCGGCGCACUCCCUGAGGACGAUCGGCAUCAGGAAGGCGGUGUCCGCGGCCAUGGCUUCGUUGAACCGGAACGCCUCGGCGUCACCCUCCGCUCUCUCCCAGACAGACUGGCCGCCGUACGCCAUGGAGAACGGGGACAGACCCGGCUGCUGCAGGUCACCCUGCUGCCGGAACCACUUGCGCAUGCCCAUGCUGACCGGAGAAUCUCGGACCGGCCAGAGCAAGAGCUGCACGGUCAGGAAAUGAGGCAGCUGGCCCGUCGCCGUCGAGCUCUUGUCCCUGACGAGGAGGCGGGAGGCCGCCGU
This 3550-nucleotide long non-coding RNA is filed under the name Setaria viridis. Its description in RNAcentral is "long non-coding RNA (SVIR_LNC011225)". The record is from RNAcentral. Lineage: Eukaryota; Viridiplantae; Streptophyta; Magnoliopsida; Poales; Poaceae.